Molecule: ribosomal RNA, 253 nt
Filed under: uncultured bacterium
Lineage: Bacteria
Description: partial 16S ribosomal RNA
Rfam family: Bacterial small subunit ribosomal RNA
Source: RNAcentral
UACGUAGGGUCCGAGCGUUGUCCGGAAUUACUGGGCGUAAAGAGCUCGUAGGUGGUUUGUCACGUUGUUCGUGAAAACCCACAGCUCAACUGUGGGCGUGCGAGCGAUACGGGCAGACUAGAGUACUGCAGGGGAGACUGGAAUUCCUGGUGUAGCGGUGAAAUGCGCAGAUAUCAGGAGGAACACCGGUGGCGAAGGCGGGUCUCUGGGCCGAUACUGACGCUGAGGAGCGAAAGCGUGGGGAGCGAACAGG